AUAAAUGUGCAAUAUAAAUAAAUUAAAAAUGUUUAGAAUAUUCGUAAAUAUUCGUAAAGAAUUAAUAUAUAGAGGUCAAUUUUGUAGAUCGAUACAUAAGCCAAGUCACGAGCAUGUUAGUAACGAUGAGAUUAUGUCUCCCGCCAACGGACAAAUAGAAACGAAUGUAACACAAAAUAGGUUAAGGAGAAAUAUAGAAUAAUUGUUGAAAUAAUAUGGAAGGCUUCGAUGAUCGAUACGCUAUGUCAGCAAUAGAUAUCGAAAGCAUGAAUAAGAUCGAUAAAUAUAGAACAAUGACGAUAUAAAGAGAUACGUACGAAUAAAAUGAAUGGGAAUAAAUAUCGAGGAUCUCGGCGUACAGGAACAUCAAAAUCAAUAUUUCUACGCAUUUUAUUAGCCAAUAUAAGACGAUGGACAUAUUCUGUAUCCCUAAUAUCUUCUGAUGUAUCAAACGCUCGUUUAACAUAAU
This 469-nucleotide long non-coding RNA is filed under the name Apis florea (little honeybee). RNAcentral describes it as "uncharacterized LOC116415141, transcript variant X1". The record is from RNAcentral. Lineage: Eukaryota; Metazoa; Arthropoda; Insecta; Hymenoptera; Apidae.